GGAGCGACCUGAGAUCACAUG
This 21-nucleotide microRNA is filed under the name Hevea brasiliensis (rubber tree). Its description in RNAcentral is "hbr-miR398". Its record names the gene hbr-miR398. The record is from miRBase by way of RNAcentral. Lineage: Eukaryota; Viridiplantae; Streptophyta; Magnoliopsida; Malpighiales; Euphorbiaceae.